AAAGAAAAAACAAAAAAGAAAAGAUACAGAAAAAGAGAGGGUGGCAGGAGAGAGAAAAGUAAAAAAAAACCCAUUUUUACCGGCAAAAGCCGGAUGUGUAUGUUUUUUUUGCUGGUUCAACUUAUAUAUCUCUCGCAUUCUGUUUUUUUUUGGACACCUUUAAUUUCAUGGGUUUCUCUAACAACCCUUCUGUAAUUGAUGCAAGCUGGCAAUCCCUUUUAGUGCUGAGCAGAUUCCUGCUUCAAUCAAUCUACAGAUGGGCAAGGUGGGGAAACCUCGACUAGGUCUUGAUAAUCUUCAAAAGGGGCUUAGUCUUAAUUCCCUUUCCACAAGCUCUGCUGUUGCUGAUCGGGUUAUUGGGGUCGAAAGAAGGAUUGUGAUUAAUCUUGCUUCAAGUUGUUGCUUCGGUUUUCAGUCUGUACUUCACGCUGUUAGUCUGGAUUUCUUUUAACCCAUUUGAAGUGUUGGCAUACGUUACCUCUUUUUCCCUCAAUUGUUUCUGUUCCGAGAAGAAGGGAAAGUGGCAUUUUGUCCUCCUCGCGUUUCCUGGCUUUUUGUUUCAUAGCCCAGAAGCCUGUUUGGGUUUCUGCGAUGAAUAUUACUUGGUGAAGUUUCUAUGGCUAACUGAAGUAUGGAGAGGACCCGGCUGGAUUUAAGAGUCCAUCACUCAGGAUCAACACAGUCAGAGGAAUCAGCUUUGGAUCUGGAAAUGAAUUACAGCAGUCACCCUAAUCUUCCUUUAUUAAGUCCACCAACACUUCAAGCAUAUGCAUCAGGUGGUCAGCACUCUGAGAGCAAUGCUGCCUACUUCUCGUGGCCUACUUCUAGUAGAUUGAAUGGUGCUGCUGAAGAUCGAGCUAAUUACUUUGCAAACCUUCAGAAAGGGGUUCUACCUGAAACUCUAGAUCGUCUUCCAACGGGACAACAGGCAACCACCUUACUUGAGCUCAUGACUAUAAGGGCAUUCCACAGCAAGAUCUUACGCCGUUAUAGCCUUGGAACAGCAAUCGGGUAUCGUAUUCGACGGGGUGUAUUGACAGAUAGGCCAGCUAUUCUUGUAUUUGUUGCACGGAAGGUUCACAGACAGUGGCUGAGUCACACUCAGUGCCUGCCUUCUGCACUUGAGGGACCUGGAGGUGUAUGGUGUGAUGUGGAUGUUGUAGAAUUUUCAUAUUAUGGUGCUCCUGCUCCAACUCCUAAAGAACAGUUAUACUCUGAGCUUGUGGAUGGCUUACGUGGAAGUGAUCCAUGCAUUGGUUCUGGUUCUCAGGUAGCUAGCCAAGAGACUUAUGGAACUUUGGGUGCCAUUGUAAAGAGCCGAACAGGAAAUCGGCAGGUUGGUUUCCUCACUAACCGGCAUGUUGCGGUUGAUCUAGAUUACCCAAAUCAGAAGAUGUUUCAUCCUUUACCACCCAGCCUGGGACCUGGUGUGUACCUAGGAGCUGUAGAGAGAGCAACAUCAUUCAUCACAGAUGAUCUUUGGUAUGGGAUCUUUGCUGGUACAAACCCAGAGACCUUUGUACGAGCUGAUGGGGCGUUCAUUCCCUUUGCUGAUGAUUUUGAGAUUUCCAAUGUAACUACAUCUGUGCAAGGUGUAGGUGAGAUUGGUGAUGUCAAGUUCAUAGACUUGCAGUCUCCAAUCAACAGCCUCAUAGGGAAACAAGUUGUGAAGGUUGGAAGAAGCUCUGGCUUGACUACUGGGACAGUAAUGGCAUAUGCCCUUGAGUACAAUGAUGAAAAAGGGAUAUGUUUCUUCACUGAUUUUCUUGUUGUUGGGGAGAACCAACAGACCUUUGACCUUGAAGGUGAUAGUGGGAGCCUCAUCCUCAUGACUAGUCAGGACGGUGAGAAGCCACGACCAAUUGGAAUAAUAUGGGGUGGGACAGCCAAUCGGGGGAGGUUGAAGCUGAAAGUUGGCCAACCUCCUGAGAAUUGGACAAGUGGUGUUGAUCUCGGACGCCUUCUUGAUCUUCUAGAACUUGAACUCGUCACUACCAGUGAAGGACUUCAAGUAGCAGUGCAAGAACAAAGAACUGCUUCAACAGCAGCCUUGGACUCUAUUGUUGGAGAAUCAUCACCUGCAGAGGGAACACAUCUGAAGGACAAAACUGGGGAAAUCUUUAAGCCUCUGGGUUUUAAUCUUCAGCAAAUCCCCAUUGAAGAUCGACCGCAGACAAUGACUCACCCUUUUACACACACUGAAUUUCAUGUAGAUGGGGUCGAGGCACUUCCCAGUGUUGAGCAUCAGUUCAUUUCCAACUUCAUUGGACAAUCUCCAGUGCAUCAAAAAGAUCAGCAGGACCACCCAGAGUCAAAGGGCCUUUCUGCAUUAAGGAAUUGCUCUGGUGAAGACCUUUGUGUUUCACUGCAUUUGGGAGAACGUGAACCCAAGAGAAGACGCUCGGGGUCCUCUUUCAGUAUUGAAGAACAGUAAUGAUUGGAAAGUGUUUAAAUAACAAGGGGGGAUUGCCUCAUUUUGCCUGUGGACCCUUCUUUGAGAUGUGUUCUGAAGAGGGUCCUUCCGACCAAAGUUUGCACCAUGGGGCUCAUGAAUAUUUCAUUGGAGUUAUCUGGAUUAUAUGGAUGGAUCACAUCAGGGGAACAUGACUGAUUCAAGUGGAAUUCACCAUCAACGAUCUUUGAAGCUCAGAAUCCGACCAAAUCAAUGAUUUGGGCAGUUUUUGCCUUUUUCCUGAGUCCGGGGGUCAUAAUAUUUUUAAUAGAAAAUGUGAGAACAGUACCUUUUUUUGUUAUUCUCCAUAGAAUUAUGUUCGUUUACUGAUUGUAACUCUUGAAGUGGCAGUUCCAGCAGAAAGUAAACCUUGGCAGGUCAACUUGAAUCAAGUUGUCAGUGACAUUGCAAAUGAUCUUGCUCUGGUAUUGUUGGUCACUUUGACCUGAGAAAAUGCUAAAAAACCAGAAAAAUGGCAAAACAGAAUGUUCAAACUUUUAGUCCGGAUGGGCCUGGCAUGGUAUUCAUUGUAGAUAUGGUGGUUGUGAUAUUGGUGUCCAGUUCUGACAUGUCAAAAAGAGGACCUCUUUUUCCAUGUGCUUUCCAAGAAGAAGAGUCAAGCUCUGUUGCUUACAAGGCUGGGUUGGUUGAUUGCCAAACUGCAAAUUUCAUUUUUAUCAAGUAAAAUGUUUAGGAGGUGAGUUCAACUUAGGUUCACCGUUCACGUGGUGGUUGUAUAUCUGAUCUGCUAUCUGCAUUCCUUCCGUUUGUAUCGUCUUGUCUGAAUUCUUGAAGUGUGGCUGGCCACCUCUUCCGCCCUUCUACAACCUGGGUUGGAAAGUUCACUGCAACAAGGUGUCAAAACCUCAGUGCGUCAGUUUUGGGAGUUGGCACUUGGAAGUUGGUUUCCUGAUGAAAGGGAUCAGUUCUUGAGAACUUCUGAUCAAUGUUUUCAAAACGGGACCAGACCGGACGGUUGGACCAGAAAAACUGGGAACCAGUUACCUGACCAGUUCCGUUUCAUCCCAAAACCAUGGGCGGGUGAACCGUUGAACCAUCAACCUGGAUUAUGGUUUUUGGUCUUUUUUGUUAUUUUUUUUUUAUUUUUUGUUAGAGUGGGCCGUCCGCUUGGACCAGAUGGUUGGACUGUUUGACCUGGAGCAGUUCCCUGUCUGGUCUAAUUUUAAAAACCUUGCUUUUGAGGAUUAUCAUGUAACUGCUUGUUUAUCAGAAUUCAGGCUUCUUAGAGGAGAUGAAAGAUUUUUGAGUUCUUUGUUUCUUA
Molecule: non-coding RNA, 3734 nt
Organism: Nelumbo nucifera (sacred lotus)
Lineage: Eukaryota; Viridiplantae; Streptophyta; Magnoliopsida; Proteales; Nelumbonaceae
Source: RefSeq, a predicted model, not a curated record